Cyprinus carpio (common carp) is the source of this 1798-nucleotide long non-coding RNA. The record is from Ensembl. Lineage: Eukaryota; Metazoa; Chordata; Actinopteri; Cypriniformes; Cyprinidae.
UGCAAUAUGUUUGAUUGUUAUCUUAAUUUACUGGACCUUUUUUAAAAAAGCAGAGAAAAAACUGCUUGAUCCUGUUAUUCUCUGCUUCAAAUGCGACUUUAAAUGCACACAGACAGUCAGUGUUAGUUACUGAAUAUAGUAUAACUGUUAAUACAACACAAAUCUCCCGAAAGCCAUGGCAGCGUCUUUCUUCGCCCAGUGUACGAGUUCUCAGGGAAUUCCGCAGCUGCACUGGGCAACAUAGAGAUGGUAUCUUUAGUAAUGCCUCCAUGGUUUGAAAUUGUCUCAUCCAGUUGGAGUAAUAUCAAAAAUGUUGAUUAUGAUGAUGGACAGCUGUUUAACUCUCACAAUGAUUGUAUGACAAUUUGACCAUGUGGGGAAACUGCUAUGUUAUGCUACGUUGACGUCAUUUCAGAAUUAGCCUACUGUGAUACAAACUCCUAAUAGAGAGCAAAAGUCUGGUUCUGGAAGUAAAUCCCAUCAUUUUUCUCCAUAGGAGAUUUGAUUUUUAAAAAUAACUUACAUGCCUUUAAAGACCUACUGUGAGCUACGAGGUUGUUUAUCGAUAUGAUUUUAUAUAUGAUUUUAUCGAUAGAAUUAUGUUCAACAGUGGGAUUCCUGGUGAAAAACUACAUUACCCAUUACCCAUGAUUCUGAAAAACUACACUCCCACAAAGCAUUAAUGCUAAUGACUGAUGUAAUCUCCCUACACUUACUUAAAUAUUUGUGCUUUUAUGCAUAUUUUGCAAUAUCAUACAUAAAUCUUUAAAUCAAUAGUUUUAUAUUUAUUUGUUGUUUUUAAUUUGUUAUUUGCAGUGCUAUAUGGGAUUGUAGUUCUUUCCCUCAUUAGAGCGAUUAAAGUCUUUUUUGCUUCAAAUCAAAGUUUGUAAUGUUGCAAGUCAUCUCGUCGCUGGUUGGUUUGGUUAAUGGCUCAUAAUAACUCUUAAACGGGAAAAAUGAAUGGAAAAAAAAAUACUUCCGGAUCCAAGGCUGCUGGAAAAAGUGGACGGUCACUAUUGCACUCUUGGAAACAAGUUAAGGGCAGGAUAGACCUUUUUAUCCAAACAAUGGCAGACGGAACAUUUUGUGAUGCUAGUGGCAUAGAAACUUCACUUUUAAAGGCAGCUUUGUAUAGAUACUGCUAAAUAUUUCUAUUUGAUAUGUCAUUUUAUUAUAGCCAGCAUAUUAUGGUGUGCUCUCUUAGCUCUUCCUGAUUUUGCAAAAAAAUGUGGCUAUUAAGUAUUUUGCAGUAAGUCAUCAGUGAUCAAUUAUGCGUUUACAUGUUGUGUAAUUCUGACACAACGUGAACGCAGCAUAACUUUCAGUGACUGUAAACAUCUUUCCAGUACAACUCAAAGUGUCUGAAUUUCUAGCAUUGGUUUAAGGGCUAAGUUAAGGUUUUUACACUUCCUUAUUGAUGGGUGACUGGUCUUCUGUCCCUGAACGGCUCUGCUUAUGUCCUGUCGGGUUUUUAAAGUGACUGAUGUCUUCUGUGCCCUUUAUGGUUUGUUAAUAUCACAGGAGGGAACCUUGUCUACAGACAAGAUUUAGGAGUGUGUGACAUUUUCCAAAGUGCCAUCGAAUCUCUUCAUGCAUUUCCCAUUAGUUUCAUCCCGAAUGUUUGUUUCGGUGUGGGCGGGUUUGAGUUAAUGGCUUUAUUUUUCAGUCAGGUCAUGCAUUCACCAUUUUGUCUUCAUUUUCACACUCAGUAUCUGUGGCAUAAUCUUGAUUACCAGAGGAAAUAAUUUCAGUUUGUCUCUUAGUUUGUAAGAAUAAAAGUCUGCUAUAUAGAAAGGCA